GUAGAAAUUUCAUAAAAUUUGGUUGAGGCAAACUCAAGUAAGAGAACAAAACCGAAAAAUUCAUCAGUUUUUCCAUUUGUAAAGGGCAUAAUUCUAACCUUUUUGGCAUUGUGUUAUCAUCCUUCUUAAGAGAUUUAACAUCUAAUGUAUCACUGCUGCUAUUUUAAUUCACAUUAUUACUAGUACAUCAAGUUUCAAAAAAGUAUUUUCAAACUGUUGGACUGUGCAGUAUUUAUAUAUGUUGAUUCAUGUUGUCCAGAAA
This 262-nucleotide long non-coding RNA is filed under the name Mytilus galloprovincialis (Mediterranean mussel). Lineage: Eukaryota; Metazoa; Mollusca; Bivalvia; Mytilida; Mytilidae. The record is from RNAcentral.